GACGAACGCUGGCGGCGUGCUUAACACAUGCAAGUCGAACGAAGUGGCGCACGGGUGAGUAACGCGUAAUCAACCUGCCCUUCAGAGGGGGACAACGGUUGGAACCGACUGCUACUACCGCAUACUUAAGGAGGAGGUUGCGUCUGAUUAGCUAGGUGGAUGGGUAACGGCCCACCAAGGCCAUGAUCAGUCGCCGGUCUGAGAGGAUGAACGGCCACAUUGGGACUGAGACACGGCCCAGACUCCUACGGGAGGCAGCAGUGGGGAAUCUUCCGCAAUGAACGACAGUCUGACGGAGCAACGCCGCGUGAGUGAUGACGGCCUUCGGGUUGUAAAGCUCUGUUAAUCGGGACGCGGUACCGGAAUAGAAAGCCACGGCUAACUACGUGCCAGCAGCCGCGGCAAUAC
RNAcentral lists this ribosomal RNA (408 nucleotides) under uncultured bacterium. RNAcentral's name for it is "partial 16S ribosomal RNA". It matches the Rfam family "Bacterial small subunit ribosomal RNA", at positions 28 to 526 of the family's 1533-position model. The record is from RNAcentral.